This 394-nucleotide ribosomal RNA is filed under the name uncultured bacterium. RNAcentral describes it as "partial 16S ribosomal RNA". It matches the Rfam family "Bacterial small subunit ribosomal RNA", at positions 523 to 918 of the family's 1533-position model. The record is from RNAcentral.
AUACGGAGGAUGCAAGCGUUAUCCGGAUUUAUUGGGUUUAAAGGGUGCGUAGGCGGAUGAUUAAGCGUGAGGUGAAAUGCCACUGCUCAACAGUGGAACUGCCUCGCGAACUGGUUGUCUUGAAUGCUCCUGCCGUGGGAGGAAUGUGUGGUGUAGCGGUGAAAUGCAUAGAGAUCACACAGAACACCGAUUGCGAAGGCAUCUCACGAAGGGGUGAUUGACGCUGAGGCACGAAAGCGUGGGGAUCAAACAGGAUUAGAUACCCUGGUAGUCCACGCAGUAAACGAUGAUAACUAACCGCUGGGUCGUAGUGAUUCAGUGGCCAAGCGAAAGCGAUAAGUAUUCCACCUGGGGAGUACGAUCGCAAGAUUGAAACUUAAAGGAAUUGACGGGG